This is a long non-coding RNA of Triticum aestivum (bread wheat), 1638 nucleotides long. RefSeq lists it as uncharacterized. The transcript has 3 exons. The record is from RefSeq and is a predicted model, not a curated record. Lineage: Eukaryota; Viridiplantae; Streptophyta; Magnoliopsida; Poales; Poaceae.
UCUUCCAGUCCAGCAGAUCCCGCAUCUCCCUUAAAAAAAAGCAGAUCCCGCAUAGGUGAGGAGAUGAGCAGCCACCCUAGCUCGUCGGCGGCGGCGGCGGCGCCGCUGGACGACGAAGACCUCCUCUCCGAGAUCCUCCUCCGCCUCCCCCCGCUGCCGUCCUCCCUCCCCCGCGCUUCCCUCGCCUGUAAGCUCUGGGGGCGCAUCGUAUCCGACGCCCGAUUUCUCCGCCGCUUCCGCGAGCACCACCGCCGCAACCCUCCCCUGCUCGGUUGCUUCGUCCAAGGUACCUCCUACGCUGGGUUGCUCGGUUGCUUCUCCUUUCCCAUCGACAGCGGCGACACAUUCAUGAUCCUCGGAUGCCGCCAUGGCCUCAUGCUCAUCUUCCUUUGGACUGGGAACCUGCUCCUGGUAUGGGAUCCCGUCACGGGUGACCAGCACCGCCUAGACAUCCCCCCAGGGUUCGACAAGGAGGAAACCAUGAUUAACGGAGCGGUGCUUCGUGCUGCCGGAGAGGCCCACCAUUUCCAGGUUGUCUUGGUAGGCAACUUACACAGGCUGUGGCCUCAGGUGUACUCGUCGGAGACCGGUGUAUGGAGUAAUCUCGUGUCAACACUGCUUCCGGCGGAUGAUCCUGAUGUACCCACCAGGGUUUACCAUGACAUGUGCUUGUGAUGGUUGGGAAUUCCCUUUACUGGUUGCUUUUUGGGAAUUGAGUUGGAAUACUUGAAUUUAAUUUGGAUAGGCAGAGCCUAAGUGUGAUAAAUGUGCCAGUGGACAUCUUCUAUGUCGACAGUUGCUUGUUCACGGUUAUGCGGGCGGAUGGUGGUGGCCUUGGUUUCCUCUUCAUUUCGGGGAACUGCUUCCAGUUAUGGAAGAGGAAGACGGACUGUGAUGGUGUAGCUUCAUGGGUGCUGGGAAGAACUGUUGCACUAGACAAGCUACUUUCCAUGAAUUCAGAGGAGGGCAGUCAGAGCCCAAGGAUACUCGGUUUUGCUGAGGACAAUAAUGUGGUGUUAUUGUGGGCAUUUAUCGGCGACAUCUUUAUGCUUCAGGUUAAAUCAUUGCAGUUAAAGAAACUUUUUGAAUCCUACCGCAGUUUCUCCUGGCGUCACUAUUAUCCAUUCGAAGGUGUCUAUACUGCAGGUAUCAACAGUUAGGAUUUCGUUAUCUGAGAUGCAGAAAUGGAUUAUGCGCUGCAGGUAUCUAGAAUUACAUUCCGGUGGUUGAGAUGCAGAAGUGGCUUUCCUCCCCCUGUAGAUUCGUCCAUUUUGUAUGUUGUGCAUGUAGACACUAGUCAACUGGCAUGAAGACACAAUCACUUGUGUGCCGAAAAGGUAUCAUCACUGCAGUGAUGCUACUAUGGGUUGAAUUUGUAGCAUGAUCAGGCAGGUGGCUGAAUCAUAUUACUCUUUGUGGAGGAUAGACAUCACAUGUUUGCUGCAGGAAUGCCCAGUGUGCGAGUUCUGCUGAAUUAGUUGUUUGUUGCUCAGGUUUCAUUUUCCUAGUCCUUGAUAUGAAGCUGCUGAUGUGUUGAUGCAGAAACAAUACUGAAUGCACGCAGUGAUGGUUAUGGCACAUUUAAUCGUCUGUUACAAACCAUUUUAUCUAAGCUUUAUGAGCCGCCUAAUUUCUUCA